UUGAAGCACUGUUGUAAGUCGCUCUGGAUAAGGGCGUCUGCUAAAUACCAUAAA
Molecule: regulatory RNA element, 54 nt
Organism: Astyanax mexicanus (Mexican tetra)
Lineage: Eukaryota; Metazoa; Chordata; Actinopteri; Characiformes; Acestrorhamphidae
Rfam family: UnaL2 LINE 3' element
About the family: The eel long interspersed element (LINE) UnaL2 and its partner short interspersed element (SINE) share a conserved 3' tail containing a stem-loop that is critical for their retrotransposition. Presumably, the first step of retrotransposition is the recognition of their 3' tails by UnaL2-encoded reverse transcriptase.
Source: Rfam